AGAUUAACUGUCUCUUUUAUAUUUAUUGAACUUAAAUUUUUAGUUAAAAUGCUUAAAUUUUUUUAUUGGACGAGAAGACCCUAUAGAUCUUUAUUUUUUUAAUUAUUGAUUUUUUUGGUUUUUAUUUUUUUAAUAUUUAUUUUAUUUUGUUGGGGUGACUUGAAGAUAUAUUUAACUCUUUAUUUUUUUUUACAUUUAUUUUUGUAUUAUUGACCUUUUAUUAUUGUUAAAAGAUUUAGAUACCUUAGGGAUAACAGCGUAAUUUUUUUUGAGAGUUCUUAUUGACAAUUAAGAUUGCGACCUCGAUGUUGGAUUAAGAUUAGUUUUAGGUGUAGUUGCUUAUUACUGUUAGGUCUGUUCGACCUUUAAAUUCUUACAUGAUCUGAGUUCAAACCGGAGA
This 400-nucleotide ribosomal RNA is filed under the name Lonchodes philippinicus. RNAcentral's name for it is "partial 16S ribosomal RNA". The stretch from base 250 to 400 matches the Rfam family "Bacterial large subunit ribosomal RNA", at positions 2473 to 2622 of the family's 2925-position model. Lineage: Eukaryota; Metazoa; Arthropoda; Insecta; Phasmatodea; Lonchodidae. The record is from RNAcentral.